UACAGAGGGUGCAAGCGUUAAUCGGAAUUACUGGGCGUAAAGGGCGCGUAGGCGGUGACAUGGGUGUGAUGUGAAAGCCCCGGGCUUAACCUGGGAAGUGCAUCGCAAACUAUGUGACUGGAGUAGAUGAGAGGGUGGCGGAAUUUCAGGUGUAGCGGUGAAAUGCGUAGAUAUCGGAAGGAACGUCGAUGGCGAAGGCAGCCACCUGGCAUCAUACUGACGCUGAGGCGAGAAAGCGUGGGGAGCGAACAGG
RNAcentral lists this ribosomal RNA (253 nucleotides) under uncultured bacterium. Its description in RNAcentral is "partial 16S ribosomal RNA". It matches the Rfam family "Bacterial small subunit ribosomal RNA", at positions 524 to 776 of the family's 1533-position model. The record is from RNAcentral.